UACGAAGGGGGCUAGCGUUGCUCGGAAUCACUGGGCGUAAAGCGCACGUAGGCGGAUCGUUAAGUCAGGGGUGAAAUCCUGGAGCUCAACUCCAGAACUGCCUUUGAUACUGGCGACCUUGAGUUCGGGAGAGGUGAGUGGAACUGCGAGUGUAGAGGUGAAAUUCGUAGAUAUUCGGAAGAACACCAGUGGCGAAGGCGACUCACUGGACACGUAUUGACGCUGAGGUGCGAAAGCGUGGGGAGCAAACAGG
RNAcentral lists this ribosomal RNA (253 nucleotides) under uncultured bacterium. RNAcentral describes it as "partial 16S ribosomal RNA". It matches the Rfam family "Bacterial small subunit ribosomal RNA", at positions 524 to 776 of the family's 1533-position model. The record is from RNAcentral.